UUGACGCCAGAAUGAGCGUUACGUUCAUCAGUCAGAAAUUAACUAGGUUCAGUUCACGUUUGCCCAAAAUAUGAACUCAUUCAUGAACUUUCGUUUAUUAAACUCGUUCAGGUUCAACACUAUCUCUUGUUAUGUACGCUUCUUGUUAUUUACACUGAAAUGCUUAAACACUGCCGAGCCAUGAAUAUUACAAUGCAUGCUGGGAGCAUAUAUGACAGUGCACUUAGACAUUGCUGUAAAUUCUACAGUUAUUUAACACGUAGCAUGAAGUAAAAUAUUGUAACGUUCUGCAUCAUGAGAUUUUGGUUGACAUCACACACUAUAAGUACAGAGUUAUUUUUUUUUAAUCUAUGUUUUUAUUUAUUGUGGUGCUGAUGAGUCACACAAGGAAAAUGGGAGCUCUUUUGGCUUGCAGAAGAAGUAGGUGAAAUUGAGUAAUUACAAGGAAGUUCUCACUUGUAUCUAAUGCAGUUGAUGUCAACAGGUAACAGUUAUUUUAGCUUCACUUGGUAUACAGCUGAAUUGACCGGGAUGCCACUCUAUCGCACACAACCCACAGUCAGGGUUUCAUGAAGAAAAAGUGCAACAUUACUGUAAUGCGAGAGUUAAAUAAGACACAUUUACUGUCUAAAUACAAUAUAUUAUUUCUGAAAAGACUGUUUCGUUUAAUUAGAAAAAGCAGAAACAGUGAAAUGUAAAUUCUGAUCUUGUAUUGUCACUAAAAUGCAUAGACAUAUUUCCGAUAAUUGCUGAAAUGAAUACUGUGAUGAAGAAAUGCUUGGCUGCCAUUUUUUAGUUUUAUUUUUUCAUGCGAAAGGCCAAUGAUAUGCACAGGCUGUUUUACAAUAAUUUUAAAAAACAUGAUCACUGUAAAUACUACAAUUAAACAUUUACAAGACAGACUGCUUCAAAAUGUAGUGAGGACAUUCAGAACGGCUCACUCAGAGCCACAUCAAAAACAGGCAGAUAACAAAAUUGACUUGGUUGUUUAAUUUCACACCUGCUGGUUGGUGAGACACUCAACUAUUUGUGUUCACGCAAUUAAAAAGUGCUAUUUCUACAAUAUGUCGUCUUUAAAAUUGGCAAGGAUAUGAAUAAUUUGAAUCUUAACUGUACAUAAAAAGACCACAACAGACAUGAUUUCAUGACAGCGAACAUGAAACAAAAAGCUUGUCACAUGGGUUAUGCGGCCAAUCAGGUGCUUAAAUACUGUAACAAGGAAGUGAAGUGACCGCUAUAGCAGCCUUUUUUCCCCUGCCAUUGCGCUGUAGCAGCCUGGCUCAUUAUCGUGCCUUGACGAACGUCAGCUAGCGGCGGGCCAAUUAUGGCCUGCGGGCCGCUAGUUGCUGACCUCUGAUGUAAAAUCCAUCCAUCCAUCCAUUAUCUGAGACGCUUAUCCCCACAAGGGUCACGUGAGCGCUGGAGCCUAUCACAGCCUUCAUCGGGCAGGAGGCAGGGUACACCCUGAACUGGUCGCUAGCCAAUGGCAGGGCACAUAUAAACAAACAACCAUUCACACUCACAUUCACACCCACGGGCAAUUCAGAGUCCUCAAUCAACCUACCAUGCAUGUUUUUGGGAUGUGGGAGGAAACCGGAGUGACCGGGGAAAACCCACGCAGACACGGGGAGAACAUGCAAACUCCACACAGGCGGGGCCGGGGACCGAACCCCGGUCCUCAGAAUCAUGAGGCAGACGCUCCAACUAGUCGUCCACUGUUCCACCUCUGAUGUAAAAUGAUAUUGAAAAAAAAAAAAUGCCCUGAGAUUGACUGGCAACCAGUCUGGGGUGUGCCCACCCUCUCGCCCGUGGUCAGUUUUUAGAAUGGGUUCCAGCUCACCUGCGACCCUAAUGAGGACAAGUACCAAAAAUUAGGAACAUUUUCUAAUCCAACACUUCUUUCUCCAGAUGAUUGAUUAAGUACAUUUUUGACUACCCAUGAAUAUAUAAAUAAUAUUUUGUAAAUAAACAACCCUGCAGGCUCCCAAACAACCACCGUCAUAUCACAUUUGAGAGCGUAACGCCUUCUCUUUGUCUGCUUUGCUUUGUCUGUCUGAUGCACACGUAUGAGUGUCAUCAUGACAGGGCGCAAAGUGAGCCACCUUCAUGCUGGUGUCACAUGUAGCCACACUCAUAUGGAUGAAAAACCCAGCCUCUCAAUUCCAAUUUUGAGACAUUUUAUCUGCUAAUUGUGUUCCCCCCCAAAAUUGCCUGACGUCAGGCAGCGUGACGUUUUUGUUCCGAGCGCACGUGUGUGUAUCCAUGUGCACUGCACACUGAUGAAUUGAUUUCUUCAACAGGUUAUGAAUAUUGCAUGUAUGAGGAUAGGUAGAAAUGGCGAAAUGAGGCUAUAUUGUUUCUGCUUUGGGGCAAAUUCAGCCUAUGAUCAUUUCUAUGAAGGCGGUGAUAUUUUUUGAAACAGUCAAGGCUAAUGUACUAUAUUUGUGGAGACGACAAAUAUUGGAAGUGAUUGGUUUUGCUGAAGCAAGCAGGGCCUGGGGGCACACGCAUAUACCAAGACAAAGCGAUAAUUUAAGAGGGGAAGAAAAGCCAAAAGUCAAACAGGGAAGAAGCACACAUGUUCAGCAAGCCUUUAUAUAUAUACUGUAAUGAAGUGGUGACUCAUGUUUUGUCAAAACAUCAACAUGCAUGUCACAGACACACUUCCUAAAUAGAGAUGUCCGGCUGUACAUUUCAAGUCCCAUAUAUCUGAUUUAAGUGUGUUUACAUUGACGGAACACAGGAAACAACCUGCAUACGCAGAUGCCCAAACUGCACAUCCUGUAAAUGACACGCAAGUGUCCACAGUGAACUGACCACGCAAAGACAACAAUAAUAAAUAAAUAACACAAAUAACAUAUGUUACAUACUUGGCCUGGACAGUACCCCGUGCCGCCUCCUGCCCGAAGAUAGCUGGGAUAGGCUCCAUCAACCCACGACCAUAGUGAGGAGAAGCGGUAAAGAAAAUGGAUGGAUGGAUGGAUUUUAUUGUUCGGUGCCCCUGGGUUUCUUGAAAGGCCCUUGAAAUAAAAUGUUAAAUGCAUUCAUUCAUUCAUUCAAUUUCCGUACCGCUUAUCCGUGCUAUAGCUCGUCCCAGCUAUCUUCGGGCGAGAGGCGAGGUACACCCUGAACUGGUCGCCAGCCAAUCGCAGGGUACAUAUAAAAAAACAACCAUUCGGACUCACCUUAACACCUAGAGUUUCCAAUUAACCGACCAUGCAUGUUUUUGGGAGGUGGGAGGAAACCGGAGCACCCAGAGAAAACCAACAGGAAUUAUAGAUAUCUACAAUUCAGUUGCAGAAAUACUCUACUGUGUUACAGAUAUCUGCAACUGAAUAGUGCAUAUCCGUUAUGAGAAACCUGAUACACAUGAAUGGCAAAAGCUACGCCAUUUGUCCUGUAGGCAAAAUUACGUUGCACAUAUCUGUACUUCAGUUUGGACUUGGCAAAACUUGGUCUUUGACAGUUUUUGACUUGGGAAAACUGAAUGACACAAAUCUAAAACUGACAGUUUAAAUGAAAAUUCCAACUAUUCAAAAUGUAAUUACGUCUCAUCAGAUAGACAUUGUUGACAAUGUCGAUUUCGGAUAGUCAAAUUCAGCUGGGCAUUAAUAAGAUGCAUGUGGCGUGAUUCAAACCGCGUCAUUUCCUGUGGACCACAUAAAGAUGAGAGAGGGACAGAGCAGACCAGCGCAGAUCAGAGUUACGUGCAGAGACAACCUGACUCUCGAAACAACAUGUCACUGUGUCACACCAGCGAGCUCUCAUUAGCGGCUGUAUGCCUGUAUGAUUAGGUGUGAAUGACGUCACGCAUCGGGCAAACCAGAUCUCACAUUACCACAGUCUCACGUCUAAUUGGGCUGGUGCUAACUUGAAUUAUGUUAUUGUUGUUGUUGAGGGUGCUGCGACUGCUUGAUGGCUGCUCGGAGACAAGGACGCAUGAAACAAGAAAUGAAUGUCUGAGACGACUAUCUAGCUGGCUGUUCAAAACAGCUACAGUAUGCACAUGCACUCUCGGAGGUAUUAGGAAUGCACUAAGGCACACACACGCAUUCACUGUGAGCAUUUGAAUUUCACUCACAUUCUCCACUUUAGAGAGGACGUAGUGAGCUCCUGGUGGUGUUGAUGUAGUUAUAACACUGGGGAACACAAUUUUUGUUGAGUUAGGUCUGACACCUGUUUUUAACAAAUUUUUGGGUGCGGAAUCCAAAACUGAUCUUUGUUUUUCUCUAUCACGUCACAUUUUUCAACUAUAAAUCCCCGUUUUUUUUUUUUUUUUUUUACUAUGAAAACUAUUGUACUUAACAGAUAUGUGCUUAUUUUAUAACACUUUUCAAAUAUUGACAUGCGAUGAAAUAUGAAAUAAACAGGCAUGACUGCAAUGUUUACUUAACACUAUUAUGUUUUAUAUUAUGUAUGUUAUGUUUUAUAUAGGCUAUGGCACAAAUCCUCUUAAUUGCUACUAUGUUCUCUUUCUGUUUGCAGAUAUUGAUAGGACUGACCUAUUGGGAGCUGCACACACCUCUCACUGCAGUGUCUCAAUUGUGACUGCACAAACAAGUUGCCAAUCGUAAUCAGCUGGCAAGUCUUACUAUAGCUAAUCAGUGGAAUUUUGCUUAUCUGGAGGGUAAGCUGUGAAGAAAAAACUUGAUGUGCUAGGAAAAAAACGACUGCAAUUUUGGAAUCACAAUGGCAAUUUUAGUUUUAAUCAGCAUAAAAAUCUAACUCAACAGAAUUUUUUUUUUCAAAUUGUUCCCCAGUGUAAUCAUUCUCGUAUUCAAGUACUACGACCCUAUCCUGGAGGGUUAAGUGCACAGAAGAAGAGUUGUUAUCCGUGCUCAAGUGUUACCUCUGCCUGCUGUUUGCUCUGAGAAACUCACCAUUCAGGCUGGAACUAGCUUGCUGUGGGAUUUGUGCGAAGCAAGUGCCUCAUUAGUGCACAGCGGUGGUUGGUUCAGUGGGAACGCGAGGGUGAAAGGUUGUCUGUCUCUAUAUGUCCACCUUUCGCUCAAAGUCAGCUGAGUAAGGCUCGCGCUCCCUGUGACCCGGAACACGUGAUGUUCUACAAUACCGUUCCAUUUCUUGACAAGGAGGGACUAAGAACAGGCUCUAAGGAAUACUUUAAAAGAUCGUGCUCAUCUUGUGGCAGCACACAUCACCUGCCAAGGCCUGCAAGGGUGAGUCAACAACAUGAGUGUGGAUGAGUAUCAUCUGAGACAUCACCAGGGCAGCUGCUGCAAUGGCCGUGCCCGUCCUUCACGUUUUUUUCUGCACUGACAACUCUCUCGGAAACAAAAUGUGCAAGCUCCAAUGGAGAAAAACGGGAAGUCAGACAUAUCAUUAGAGAACAUCAAAAAGAUCCAAGAUACACAAACUAAAGUUCAAUCAAGCAGGAGGCAAUACAAUACUGGAGAACCUCAAAAUUCAAACCAGGAAAAUGUCACACAUAAACUCAAAAUUACUGUCAUCAUGUUAUCCCGUCGAAGCCCAAGCCACUCAUUCUCAAACUGUGUUGCAUGCACCCCUGGGAGUCUUUUAUGAUGGUUUUAUGAAGUUUGACCCUAGAACCUCCAACAUCUUCUGGAGCAAAAUUGUAUUACAAAGAAAUUAGAGGUUCUGCUGUUCAAGCUACCAAUAAACCCAUGUGUGGAACACUCCGUUAAUCCUAUUGAUACUUGUAUUUCCGUUUUUGAGUUUAAAACACAUUACUUCAACACAUAAGGUGGACACCCAUUGGAAUUGUUAUGCGCAGAAAUGACUCACGCUUAACUGUCAGAGAGCCACAUAGUGUGAACAGUGCGGGAGCAACGAGUGCAAAAGAAGACAUAUUUGAGGAUAAAUGCAGCGUUGAGAAUGAAGGAUGCCCGAGGCCCUUCUCUCACAGCUGAGUUGUCGUCACCUCUUCAGAGACUGCGAAGCAGCCUCAGGUUCUCACCCUGCUCAGAGAUGACGAGUAAUGAGUGAGAAAGAGCCCACAAUGCUCAAAUGAUAUAGCGUAGAGGAAGAGCAAAGCUUCACAGAACAUUCACCUUGAGUGUUUAACAAGGUCAGCAUGUGACAUGGUGACUGAAUCAGCUUAGUGGAAGUAUGAUGAUGUGUUUGUUUGUCACCUUUGUUUUACUGUGUGUGUGUGUGUGUGUGUGUGUGUAUGUGUGUGUGUGUGUGUGUGUGUGCGUGCAUGCGUGAGAGAGAAAUAACAUAUCACUCCAUCAGCAAAGUGCUACUUCCCAUUCAGCAACAACCCCGCUGAAGGACAGCAAAACAGGGGGGUUGAGUGUAUGAAGCAGAUAGAGACCGUGUUACUGAACCACGCAUGACUCGCCAGCUGUCACAAUGCAUGGCACACAGGAAGGUAGUGUAGGCGGUGGAUUGCUCCACACAAGGAGCCUUCACUGAAGCCACCUUAAGUUGCUGCUUUUUUGUAGGUCUAGUUUUGUAUUCAAUAAUUUAUAAGCAUGCUCUGUUAGGUUGAGACCACUGCACUGACAUUGCCAUUAAAGAAUUUACCUUUGAAAAGUCUUUAAGAUCGUUAUCAAUCGGGACUGGUUAGCUCUAAACUGUGAGGGGCCGUUUGGGACAUUAUUCAGGAUUAGCUCUCACACUUACUAUUCAAAUGCUUUUACACACACACAAACUACUGAAAGGCUCUCAUAAACACAACUCAAACAUUCUCAUACCCACGAGUCUUGCUCUCAUAAAGACUACUCAAAAACUCUCAUUCACACCAGAUUUGAAGACUGCUUGUGUGGAGGAAUGGGCCAAAAUCAUGCCAGAACAAUGCAUGCGACUAGUUUCUCCAUACAGGAGGCGUCUUGAAGCUGUUAUUGCAAACAAAGGGUUUUGUACAAAGUAGUAAAUAAAUACCAGUUGGUGUGUUGGAUGUAUGGAUUACUUGGGUUGUUCCCAAC
Phyllopteryx taeniolatus (common seadragon) is the source of this 6908-nucleotide long non-coding RNA. RefSeq lists it as uncharacterized. The transcript has 3 exons. The record is from RefSeq and is a predicted model, not a curated record. NCBI's taxonomy places the organism in Eukaryota, Metazoa, Chordata, Actinopteri, Syngnathiformes, Syngnathidae.